RNAcentral lists this ribosomal RNA (437 nucleotides) under uncultured bacterium. RNAcentral's name for it is "bacterial SSU rRNA". It matches the Rfam family "Bacterial small subunit ribosomal RNA", at positions 29 to 507 of the family's 1533-position model. The record is from RNAcentral.
AGCGAACGCUGGCGGCAUGCUUAACACAUGCAAGUCGCACGGGCAGUAGCAACCCUGGCAGUGGCGACGGGUGAGUAACGCGUAGGAAUCUAUCCUGGGUGGGGGACAACCGUGGGAAACUACGGCUAAUACCGCAUGAUGCCUGAGGGCCAAAGACGAAAGUCGUUGAGGAGGAGCCUGCGUCUGAUUAGGUAGUUGGUGGGGUAAAGGCCUACCAAGCCCUACGAUCAGUAGCUGGUCUGAGAGGAUGAUCAGCCACAUUGGGACUGAGACACGGCCCAAACUCCUACGGGAGGCAGCAGUGGGGAAUAUUGGACAAUGGGCGCAAGCCUGAUCCAGCAAUGCCGCGUGGGUGAAGAAGGUCUUCGGAUUGUAAAGCCCUUUUGGCGGGGACGAUGAUGACGGUACCCGCAGAAUAAGCUCCGGCUAACUUCGUG